This 408-nucleotide ribosomal RNA is filed under the name bacterium enrichment culture clone ALO1_GLFRUDD03G4KMB. RNAcentral describes it as "bacterial SSU rRNA". It matches the Rfam family "Bacterial small subunit ribosomal RNA", at positions 9 to 416 of the family's 1533-position model. The record is from RNAcentral.
GAGUUUGAUCAUGGCUCAGAUUGAACGCUGGCGGCAUGCCUUACACAUGCGAAGUCGAACGGCAGCACGGGAGCUUGCUCCUGGUGGCGAGUGGCGAACGGGUGAGUAAUGCAUCGGAACGUAUCCUGGAGUGGGGGAUAACGUAGCGAAAGUUACGCUAAUACCGCAUAUUCUGUGAGCAGGAAAGCGGGGGACCUUCGGGCCUCGCGCUCUUGGAGCGGCCGAUGUCGGAUUAGCUAGUUGGUGAGGUAAAGGCUCACCAAGGCGACGAUCCGUAGCAGGUCUGAGAGGAUGAUCUGCCACACUGGAACUGAGACACGGUCCAGACUCCUACGGGAGGCAGCAGUGGGGAAUUUUGGACAAUGGGGGCAACCCUGAUCCAGCCAUGCCGCGUGAGUGAAGAAGGCC